RNAcentral lists this ribosomal RNA (496 nucleotides) under uncultured bacterium. RNAcentral's name for it is "partial 16S ribosomal RNA". It matches the Rfam family "Bacterial small subunit ribosomal RNA", at positions 29 to 507 of the family's 1533-position model. The record is from RNAcentral.
AUGAACGCUGGCGGCGUGCCUAAUACAUGCAAGUCGCGCGAACAGACGAGGAGCUUGCUCCUCUGACGUUAGCGGCGGACGGGUGAGUAACACGUGGAUAACCUACCUAUAAGACUGGGAUAAUUUCGGGAAACCGGAGCUAAUACCGGAUAAUAUAUUGAACCGCAUGGUUCAAUAGUGAAAGACGGUUUUGCUGUCACUUAUAGAUGGAUCCGCGCCGCAUUAGCUAGUUGGUAAGGUAACGGCUUACCAAGGCAACGAUGCGUAGCCGACCUGAGAGGGUGAUCGGCCACACUGGAACUGAGACACGGUCCAGACUCCUACGGGAGGCAGCAGUAGGGAAUCUUCCGCAAUGGGCGAAAGCCUGACGGAGCAACGCCGCGUGAGUGAUGAAGGUCUUCGGAUCGUAAAACUCUGUUAUUAGGGAAGAACAAAUGUGUAAGUAACUAUGCACGUCUUGACGGUACCUAAUCAGAAAGCCACGGCUAACUACGUG